Molecule: transfer RNA, 83 nt
Filed under: Canis lupus familiaris (dog)
Lineage: Eukaryota; Metazoa; Chordata; Mammalia; Carnivora; Canidae
Also listed under: 1 other name
Rfam family: tRNA
About the family: Transfer RNA (tRNA) molecules are approximately 80 nucleotides in length.
Source: Rfam by way of RNAcentral
GCCUGGAUGGCUCAGUGGUUGAGCGUCUGCCUUUCACUCAGGGCAUGAUCCCAGGGUCUUGGGUUUGAGUCCCACAUUAGGCU